This 237-nucleotide long non-coding RNA is filed under the name Nicotiana benthamiana. RNAcentral describes it as "long non-coding RNA (NBEN_LNC033092)". Lineage: Eukaryota; Viridiplantae; Streptophyta; Magnoliopsida; Solanales; Solanaceae. The record is from RNAcentral.
AGGCUCCUAAUGCUUGAGUAUGCCAGAGGAUGGCUGGAGAGGCCAUAGAACUACUGAUCUGAGAACCAUCCAAGUCAGCCUUCAAGACCUUGAACACCCAAGGUCUAAUGGUGGAGAGGGGUGAGUACAGACCAUCCAUGGUCUGUGAAGCGAUGGAUUCCGGUGAAAACAUGGUGAAAUAAGGUAAGAGAAGGCUAGGAUUUUGAAGCGCUGUUGAGAGGAUUUGAGAGAGCUUGG